Molecule: ribosomal RNA, 494 nt
Filed under: uncultured bacterium
Lineage: Bacteria
Description: partial 16S ribosomal RNA
Rfam family: Bacterial small subunit ribosomal RNA
Source: RNAcentral
GACGAACGCUGGCGGCGCGCUUAACACAUGCCAGUCGAACGGAAAGGCCUGCUUUCCCUUGUGGAUUGCGGGUACUCGAGUGGCGAACGGGUGAGUAACACGUGAGUGAUCUGCCCCCAACUUGGGUAUAAGCCUGGGAAACUGGGUCUAAUUCCCGAUAGGACUGCAGGGUGGUGCCUGUGGUGGAAAACGAUUUUCUAGUGGUUGGGGAUGAGCUCGCGGCCUAUCAGCUUGUUGGUGGGGUAAUGGCCUACCAAGGCGGCGACGGGUAGCCGGCCUGGGAGGGUGGACGGCCACAUUGGGACUGAGAUACGGCCCAGACUCCUUCGGGAGGCAGCAGUGGGGAAUAUUGCACAAUGGGCGGAAGCCUGAUGCAGCGACGCCGCGUGGGGGAUGACGGCCUUCGGGUUGUAAACUCCUUUCGACCGCGAGGAAGCCACCUGGUUGGAAGGGUGGUGACGGUAGUGGUAGAAGAAGCACCGGCUAACUACGUG